CAAUCACCGCUGUGAAGGUGCUGCAUGGUUGUCGUCAGCUCGUGCCGUGAGGUGUCGGCUUAAGUGCCAUAACGAGCGCAACCCUUAUCUUUAGUUACUAACAGGUCAUGCUGAGGACUCUAGAGAGACUGCCGUCGUAAGAUGUGAGGAAGGUGGGGAUGACGUCAAAUCAGCACGGCCCUUACGUCCGGGGCUACACACGUGUUACAAUGG
RNAcentral lists this ribosomal RNA (213 nucleotides) under Bacteroides fragilis. Its description in RNAcentral is "partial 16S ribosomal RNA". It matches the Rfam family "Bacterial small subunit ribosomal RNA", at positions 1021 to 1233 of the family's 1533-position model. Lineage: Bacteria; Pseudomonadati; Bacteroidota; Bacteroidia; Bacteroidales; Bacteroidaceae. The record is from RNAcentral.